GUCGGGCUAUAAUGGCUUUAUUCAGGAUGCUUCAUACAGUGAAAUUGAGAAGAAUCAAGAUUGAUUUUAACAAAAAUUAGAAUGGUUUCUUUUAUAUCUAAUCUGAAGUGUCCAGUAGAGACAUGGUAAGAUCCAUACAAACUGCAAUGGGCAAGCCUUCGAGACCUGCAGACGCCCCAGAAAAUGUAGCUGUCAUAAUGAGAAUCUUUCUUUGUGAUCAGAAAAGCUUCCAAGGAAUAGAUAAUAAUAGAUAAUAACAGCACCAAGGAAUAGAUUGCACCAAAGAGAGCAACCAUGCCUGGCAACAAAUGUUUUCUUUGUCAUUCUUAGUGAGACUACUCAACACCAAGAAAUAGAAAUCAGAAGGGCCACGAGCACACACACAACUAUUUCAUAACCUAGAAAUAAGAAUAUCCUCUUGUACUAUUAUGAAUUAUUGAGUAUGGAAUUACCUACAAACGAUUAAAAAUCUUUAUAUCAUCUAAUAAAAGAUGGCUAAAAGAGCA
This 506-nucleotide long non-coding RNA is filed under the name Parus major (Great Tit). RNAcentral describes it as "lncRNA (ENSPMJG00000002950.1)". The record is from RNAcentral. Lineage: Eukaryota; Metazoa; Chordata; Aves; Passeriformes; Paridae.